UACGGAGGAUGCGAGCGUUAUCCGGAUUUAUUGGGCGUAAAGCGAGCGCAGGUGGUUUAUUAAGUCUGGUGUAAAAGGCAGUGGCUCAACCAUUGUAUGCAUUGGAAACUGGUAGACUUGAGUGCAGGAGAGGAGAGUGGAAUUCCAUGUGUAGCGGUGAAAUGCGUAGAUAUAUGGAGGAACACCAGUGGCGAAGGCGGCCUGCUGGACGGUGACUGACGCUGAGGCUCGAAAGCGUGGGGAGCAAACAGG
RNAcentral lists this ribosomal RNA (252 nucleotides) under uncultured bacterium. Its description in RNAcentral is "partial 16S ribosomal RNA". It matches the Rfam family "Bacterial small subunit ribosomal RNA", at positions 524 to 776 of the family's 1533-position model. The record is from RNAcentral.